Molecule: long non-coding RNA, 3883 nt
Organism: Conger conger (European conger)
Lineage: Eukaryota; Metazoa; Chordata; Actinopteri; Anguilliformes; Congridae
Exons: 2
Source: RefSeq, a predicted model, not a curated record
GGGAGGAAGGGAAGGAAAGUAGGUCCUCACCUGUAAAGGGUCUCCAUGGUGACCUUCUGCAGUCUCACGUGCUUUGGCUACACGAGCUGAACAGCUACUGAGGGAGAUACUCCCUCCUGCCCAACGCUUUCCUUUUCGUCUUUAUCGGUUUUCUUUUUUUCUUUUUCUUUCUUUUUUUUUUUUUUUGACUGACUUCAAAUCAAACUCUACUUGCCUAACAGCGUUCUUUUAUCUUCUGAACUCUUUUCUUUUAAAUAAUACAAGCAGACAAUAAAGCAGACUGCGGGGCUGCAAAGUUUUUUGUUAAAGAGAGAGAGAAAAAAAAAAAUCACAUAAGGGAAAAAAUAAUAAAGAAACAAAUACCACCAGGAACCUGGACAGCCCUGCCGACAGCGCUGGGGUUGGUUUUUUGAAUCAAUAAGUUUUGCCUUUUAACACUAAUUGUACUGUUUUUAUCCUUAUUCACGUGUCUAGCUAAAAACGAUCAUAACAAUUAGCCUAAAAAUGUAAAAAGAAAGGAAAAAAAAUAUGUUUCAGUUAAUCCACUCUAUAUCUGAACGAUCUGCUAGAUUGUAUUUUAUUUUUAUUUUUGGGGGGGAGGGGGAUAAGUACCAUACUGAAAUAACCUGCAGGAAACCAGUUUUUACCCCAAAAAUGAAAUUGUGCAUAUGUUCAGGGCAAGGACUUGCACAUGGUUUCCACCAACACAUUUCUUCUGCUAUCACAUGAGGUAUCGGAGAUUUGACAGAGAGGUGUUGUGCCUAUGGCAGGAGAGGUCGUGAGCCGUUUGCCCUCAAGAGUAGCAGCCCCCAUAAAUAUUUACAAAAUCUGCGCUUUUCCCACAAAACUGCUAUUCCUAAACUUCAUUCUUAAUUUCAUUGCCGUAUGAAGAUAAUGCCACGCCAUUUUCUUCAUCUUUAUCUGGCAUUGCAACGAGUGUCUUGUACAUAAUGGUGUGCCUGUGACAAUAAAUAAUUAUAUUGAUAUUUUUUAAGAAGUCGUGAGCCCAUAAAGUCUGUGUAGACGGCAUAUAGAGGGGGAAAGCUCUCCUGCAGUUUAUUUUAGUUACGGGGUGAUUAUUUUUUUAUGUAGUGAUGCUCUUGUUCUCACGUUUAAAAAGAAAGAUCAUUCAGAUUAUAUCGGUGUUGGCGAUCUGUCUGCCAUUCGGAAGUUGUGAUUCCCACAAGAGAAACGAGAACAAUGCCAUAAGCUAAUGGGAGUUUAAUGAGCAAAAUCGGUAAAUACAAAUAAAAAAGGGUAUAGAAACCUCAAUCUAAUUUUUUUACAAAGUUUUUGAUACAGCCUCAAAUUGUUUUAUUAAAAAUAAAUGAAUAGUGUAUUGCGAUUUGUAAAAGCAUAGCUUAGUAGAGAACUGAUUCAGUAUAUGUAUAUUAUUUUCUCAUGGGUCACUUUUUUUUCUUUUUUUUGUUCCCCUCUAAAUUGAAAUUUGUUGGACGUCCCAUAUCCAUUGUAAUCUUUUUCUUUCUUUCUUUUUUCCUCCUGAUCACUUGUUUUUUUGGACAGUUAAGAUGACUCACUUUAUAUGUUGUUUUUUUUUUUUUGGUUGUUUUUUUCUUUGAAUGUGACCCUUUGCAAUAAUGUUAGGUGUGGUGGAGUGAUGGGUAGAUUGUGCAGGCGAGACAGGAUGGUGAGCUGUCUAAUGGCAGCUGGUGAUGCCGGGUUUUCUGUAAUCUGCAUUUGCACAGGGACGGACCGUUUGGACUGGGGUAACGGUGUCAGUGCUUAACGCUAAACGAUCCAACGACUAACCUAGCGUAGUGUCUCCAUGUAAUGGAGAAGAGUUGACCUUUUACGCUACACACAUAUAUACUAUAAAAUAUAGAUUUAUUUUUUAAUCAAUAAGCUUGGGUUAUAAUCUAUUUUAAAAUGCUUCCAUUUACCAUGCGUUGAUUUAUCAAUAUUCAAGUCCACUGAGUUUUUUUUAAUUUUAUUUUUAAUUGCACCCUGGUUUGUCUGCUCUUUUGAAGCCCUUACAGGUGUUUACGCGGUUAAUCUGUCUUUCAUACUGACCCCUUCUGUCAAAAGGAAGACUACUUUAAAAUAAAAAAAAUUAAAAAUUUACAAAACCUCUGCAAGUAAGAACUACUAAAUGGUAAACAAAAAAAAACAAAAAAAAAAUAGAAAGAAAAGAAAAAAAAAAAGGAAAAAAAUCUGUGAAAUGGGUGUUCCUGUCCAGUAUUUCACUACAGCGUCCAGAGGAGAUGUUACUGUCCCGAUCCCGGCUUCCCUGGUGCUAAUGGUGCGCAGUGGGAUCUUAGCUCUGGAGUCCUGGCUGUGAGGUUGGCGUAGAGAGGGGCUGAGGCGGACCGGAGAGUAACGCGGUGCGGGUUCGACAUCGUUUAGCGGCCGUCACGCGUGGUGCUCCAGCGGUGGGCCUGGUCCAGCGGGGUCCUGAUCAGGGACCCGGGGCGCCCACGUCAGUAUCCCAGCACCGUGACAGCGAGUGUUAUUAUUUUGUAAGUGGCCUUGUGUAUUCCUAAUGCAACAACUGUAUUCUUCAGUGCGUCACGCAGUUCAGACUCACUGACUGUCUACCACAACUCACUCAAAACAAAUGACAUACCAUAUGAUUUUGGAAAGAUUUGAGUUGGAGAAACCAAAGAUGUAAAUUUAAGAAAAAAAAAAAAAAAAAUGGCAGUCUUCAAAUGUUUUAUUGCUACACUGUACGAGGAAGGGACUUGAGGUAGUCGCUGUGUGUGUUCUUUUCUGGAACGUCCUAUACCUUAAAAUGCACAUUACUCCAGCGGUUGCUGUGGCAGUUACUGCAGUGGAAUUUAAAACCCCCCCCCUAUCGUGUUCACACUCUUUUUUCUGCGCCUCUAUUCUGAAAAUGUCCAACACUGAAGAAUACAGCGAACAGCAGACCUCCAUAUUUUUUCUACAGCAGAAGGCCAGUACAGCACAAAUAUCAAGAGCAGUUGAAUCUGUCACUCACUUGUGAGGUAGCUUGCUUCCUGGAACUAGCGACAGGUUGGAUUAUGCGUCAUACUAACUUUUUUUUUUUUGUUUGUUUGUUUGUUUGGUGUUUUUUUUUUUUUCUUCCCAUUUAUUUUUAUGUUGCCUAUAGAAAUAUAGGGAUUGGUGUCAAAUCAUAUCAGCCUUACUUCUGUCUCUGCAGUACUCAGGCCUCCGAUGGGGCUGCUUCUGUUUUCAUUGCAGUAGAAGGUAGCUUUUUUUUGUUGCCCCCGCCUUUGGGAUAAACUAGUCCUUAUAACUGGAAUGUUGAGGAUAUUAUCAUUUGUAUGAAGUGAGAAAAUAUUAAUAAGGUAGAUUUAUUUUAUAAGUGUUUUCUGUGGUACAGAAAGUUUUCUUGGGAUCCCAUUUUGUUUUCUUUUGCAUUUUUGCAUUUUUACUUGCGCCCCCGCCCCCAACCCCCCCCCCCCGCCCACGCCCCCACGCCCCCCUGCCCACAGCAGUGUGCUUGCAUGACCUCAUGGCGGUACACAGCCUGGCCCUUACAGUGCAGUACGGGAGGAGCUUAUUGGCUCUUCACAUAACAAAUCAAGUGAGCAAACAAGACCCGAAACCUCAAAAGAGACCAGAGGAAGAGGUUGUCCUAGCAACAGUGAGGGAGUGGGAGAGAGAGAGCGAGAGAGAGAGGGAGGGAGUGGGAGAGAGAGAGCGAAAGAAUAACAAAACACAAAUUGCUCAUACUUUGGGAAGCUGGAUUUUUGUCCAUUAACGUGGCAACUUCAACCUAAAAAAAACAGGGGGUUCACAUGAAUGCUCAAGUAAAGAAUAAUACAAAAAAUGCAUUAAAACAAUGCAUUUUUUCUUUUUACUGUUUUUAAUAGCAUUGUUUUAUUUAUGCUACUAGACACUGUAUGUUGAAAUCUUGUAUUAAAAAAGUGUUUUCACCAAA